This 328-nucleotide unclassified non-coding RNA is filed under the name soil metagenome. Its description in RNAcentral is "partial contains 5.8S ribosomal RNA, internal transcribed spacer 2, and large subunit ribosomal RNA". The stretch from base 1 to 120 matches the Rfam family "5.8S ribosomal RNA", at positions 35 to 154 of the family's 154-position model. The record is from RNAcentral.
GAUGAAGAACGCAGCGAAAUGCGAUAAGUAAUGUGAAUUGCAGAAUUCAGUGAAUCAUCGAAUCUUUGAACGCACAUUGCGCCCCUUGGUAUCCCGAGGGGCAUGCCUGUUCGAGCGUCAUUUCACCACUCAAGCCUGGCUUGGUGUUGGGCGACGUCCUCUUUGGGGACGCGCCUCGAAACGCUCGGCGGCGUGGCACCGGCUUUAAGCGUAGCAGAAUCUUUCGCUUUGGAAGUCGGGGCCCCGUCUGCCGGAAGACCUGCUCGCAAGGUUGACCUCGGAUCAGGCAGGGAUACCCGCUGAACUUAAGCAUAUCAAAAGCGGAGGA